CUGUAGCCUUCCAGCCUUGGGACUACAUAUAUACACACUCACUCUCUCACUAACACCAAGGUUAUGGAAAACAACUGAAAACUAAAUUACCUGAGUCUCCAUUGAGGCAACCUGAGCUUCUGGUGAGGCAACCUGAGCCUCCAUUGAGGCAACCCGAGCCUCCAGUGACAUCUCACGGUAGGCUUGCCUUGUCAGGGUUGCAAUGACUGCGUCCGGUCCCUGGACUCAGGCCCCUCUGACAGACCAGUCCCCUGAUUUCCAGACCUGACUUACCUCCGGAGGUUCCCAGGACCCUGAGGAAUUUCGGCGGGAGCCUGGGUGCCUGGGUGAAAAAUCAGAAGUCCUAAGGGAUAGGCCACCAUGGAAGCAGUGUAACUGGAGCCGGCACUGAAGUUCUUAGCCUUCCUAACCCGGAAAAAUGGAGAAAGGGUCCUCAGAGGCGCGAUUUGUCACAUGCUAUGCAUGUAUAGAUGUGUGUGUGUGAAUAACAGAAGUCGAAAUUAGAGCCAGGAAAUUAUAAAACAAUCAGUGUUCAAAUCCCACAACUGUCCCAAUAAAGUGAAACAUUAGGAAUUUAUGCCUGUGUAUGCCUUUACCUGCACUAUUUUGUACAUUGGGCUGGAUGCCUUUUAUUUGCUCCUCUAGAUUUCUAUCUACUCUGAUUCAUCCUUUUUGUAUUAGUCUGUUUUUGCAUUGCUAUAAAUAACUAUUUGAGACUGAGUAAUUUCUGAAAAAAUAGGUUUAAUUGACUCACAGUUAUUCAGGCUGUACAAAAAACAUGGUUGGGGAAAUCUCAGGAAACUUACAGACAUGAUAGAAGGUGAAAAGGAAGUAGGCGAUGUCUUCACGUGGGACAGCAGGAGAGAGAGAACAAAGUGGGAUGUGCUACACAGUUUUAAACAACCAGAUCUUGUGAGAACUCACCCACUAGCAUGAGAACAGCAAGGAGGAAAUUCACCUGUAUGAUACAGUCACCUCCCACCAGAUCCCUUCUCCAACACUGGGGAUUACAAUUUGAUAUGAGACUGAGGGGCACAUAUUUCCAAAGGAUAUCACUGCUCUCUGCCAUAGCUGACCCAUAUGUAUGACAACAAUGGCUCCUAAGCAUUCCAGCUUCCUGAUGAAUUGUAGCAACUAGAACCCAACUGGUUUGGAAUGAGCGAAGUGAGUAAGGUCAGAGUAUUUGUUUCUUUGGCUCCUUCCUUGAAGGGUCAUCUCUGACUGUCCCUUUUAAAAGCGUCACUAAUGAUGCUUAUUCCAUAUCCCUGUGACUUCUUCUCCUGGUCUUUUAGGCUACAGGGAUGGUAAUAACUUCACUGUACUGCUAGCCUUGACGUACUUAUGGUUUCUUAGACUAUGUCUUUGUAAAAUAUAGCAAUUUGAAUGAACCAUCUGUUUUUAAAAUGGGGCUCUGAUUAAUAAAUAUAUAAAUGUAUUGAAUGUAUUAUUUAAAGAUAAUGCAAAAU
Molecule: long non-coding RNA, 1466 nt
Organism: Callithrix jacchus (white-tufted-ear marmoset)
Lineage: Eukaryota; Metazoa; Chordata; Mammalia; Primates; Cebidae
Source: RefSeq, a predicted model, not a curated record